UACAUGAGGUACAAACGUUACCCGGAAUUAUUGGGCGUAAAGCGUCCGUAGGUGGCGUGUUAAGUCAGGUGUUAAAUCUUGAGGCUCAACUUCAAGUCUGUACCUGAAACUGACAUGCUAGAGUAUUGGAGAGGUGAGUGGAAUUUUGUGUGUAGGGGUAAAAUCCGUAGAUACACAAAGGAACACCAAAAGCGAAGGCAGCUCACUGGCCAAUUACUGACACUGAUGGACG
RNAcentral lists this ribosomal RNA (232 nucleotides) under uncultured bacterium. RNAcentral's name for it is "partial 16S ribosomal RNA". It matches the Rfam family "Bacterial small subunit ribosomal RNA", at positions 524 to 755 of the family's 1533-position model. The record is from RNAcentral.